Macaca mulatta (Rhesus monkey) is the source of this 2476-nucleotide non-coding RNA. NCBI's taxonomy places the organism in Eukaryota, Metazoa, Chordata, Mammalia, Primates, Cercopithecidae. The record is from RefSeq and is a predicted model, not a curated record.
AUUGCCGGCGGGAGCCUGCGGUCCCGCGGCGGCGAGACGAGCUUUUUCCUGUGUUCGCGACUAGCAUUGUGGCUUAGGGAGUUGCUUCCCGCGGCUCUGCUCCUUGGCGCGCCUGUGCCCUCCACCUUGAACGGGCCACGCUGGUUCUCAUCCAGCAACCGAAGCCGAGACUGUGGAGGCGGCGCCCGGCGUCCAGGGCGGGACUAGCGCCUGAUGGGACUCGGCGCUGUCAUCUCCUUAGGGGCCUUCCCUUCGCCUUGGCCUGCUGGGGUGAGAGACGAAGACUGCGCCAUGAGAACGGUCCGAGGCCGUUAACCGGGAGCCCAGGGGCAAGGGAGCCCGCCACCGUCUGCGCCUGUGGCAGGGACUCGGGGACAGCCUGGGCGUGGGGUCGCGUCCUAGUGACAGAACAAGCCCCGGGUGUGCCCACUGGGAGCAUUCCGUGUGGAAGCUGGAAGCGCGCUAACUGGAGGCGGCGAUUCGUCCUAGGAGGAAUUUUCUGGAGCAAAACUUGGUUUGUGUUAAGAGCACCAUUGUUUACCUGGGACUCAACGCUGUCAAUUUUCUGGAGCGAAACUUGGUUUGUGUCAAGAGUACCACUGUUUGCCUGGGACUCAUGGUUGUCAAAGUGCUUCUUCUGAGGAAGGUCUUUUUCCUUAGCAGACUCCACCUGCUUCAACACUGUUUCUUGGACUUCCUGGACUCCACCCUGCAAGGUAUCUUCUAAUGUAGAGGACAAGGUACAAUCCCUUGAGGAUUCUUGCACUUUCAGGCUGGGGGCUGGUUCUUCCUGAGGAAUGUCAGAAUUUGGAGCUAACUCUUUAUUUUCCAAUGUAGUCUCCCACCCUGAAAAAAUAAACAAAAGAUGUGGAUACAACAGGGAGAUGUGCUGGGAUGGGUCUGAGAGCAUGAAAUGCAUAAUUAAGUUCAAAAGUCAGGAUUUUUUUUUCCAAGUAGAGUCAUGCAACCUGGAGAGAGACUGAAAAGCAAUGAAGCAGCAGGGAGGGGAGUACUGACCUUGGUGAACAAGGGACAGAAAGGGUAGGGAGUAUCCUCUGAGCUCUUCGAGUUCCUGUUCUCUUAUACUGCCUCAGGAGAUAGACAGCAAAUCACUCCUUCACUGGACCUAAGGCUGCUUCUGGCCAACCAAUGCCCCCACCCCUGUAAGUCUACAGUUCUACUUAACAGACCCUGGACGGAGCAAGGGCCCCUUGAGGGAAUGCCCAGUGUGGAGUCCAGAGAAGGUAAACACCCCUGACUUGGGGCUCCUGUGGCCUACCAGCCCUGAGGUGGGUGAAGAGGGGGCACAGCCUUACCCACAGAGACCAGGUGCCCAAAGGUCUCCAGCAUCACAUCGCGGUACUCAGUCCUCUGUGUCGGACCCAGAAGCCCCCACUCUUCCCGGCUGAAGUCCACAGCCACAUCCUGGAAGGUAACUGGCUCCUGUAACAUCACACGUGUGUCUAUGCUCAGCAAGAGUGUCAGAGGGUUGUCAAUGAGGGCAGAAGAAAGGCCAGCUGGGAGGUUCUGACAGAGCUCACUGUGCUAGAGACUCUCUUGCUUUGGGGAUUUGCUCAGAGACACCAACCCAGGGCCCACAAGAGUUCUACUGGGUCCAAACCAGGGUCUGGGUCUCAGGCUGGGAGGCAGAGCCCUUGCUUCAUAAAGAGCUCCAAGUGCAACAAGCAAACAACUCCAUCCUAACGGCUCUAUCCGGCUUGCCCAGUGCUGAAAUCUUCCCACUGCAGAGGGUUCUCCAUCUAUUAAUACUGUCUUCCCACUUGGUGGAAAUGACAACCAAGCCCCUGCCUUUGUCGACAGGGCUGACCUGGGGGAGGGCAGCCACCUUGGCACAGCCAUGACUGGUCCUUUCUGGGGAACUGACCAGGACUUUAGGAAGAAGAGGUUCCCCCAACCCUGCUUUACCAGGAUCUGAGGCAUUUUGCUUACAUGGGGCAGAAUCUGCCUAAGAAGAAAGGGGAGUGGCCAGGCACAGUGGCUGACACCUGUAAUCCCAGCACUUUGGGAGGCCGAGGCAGGUGAAUCACUUGAGGUCAGGAGUUCGAGACCAGCCUGGCCAACAUGGUGAAACCCCAUCUCUAUUAAAAAUACCAAAAAUUAGCCAGGUGUAGUGGUGGCUGCCUGUAAUCCCAGCUACUCAGGAGGUUGAGACAGGAGAAUCACUUGAAUCUGGGAGGCAGAGGUUGCAGUGAGCUGAGAUCGCGCCGUUGCACUCCAGCCUGGGCAACAAGAGUGAAACUCCAUCUCAAAAAAAAAAAAAAAAAAAAAAAAAAAAGAAGGAGGAGGAGGAAGAAAAAGGAAGAAGAAGGAAGAAGAAGAAAGGGGAGAAAGCAGAGCCAUGAAACAGGUUGGCCAGAGAUUCUUCCCAUCACCUGGGAGCACCUGGAUGCAGCCUUCCUUGCCUGAAGCCUACUAGAGAAAACAUGAGAGCCAAUAAAUUUACUUCUACGCUUGA